GACGAACGCUGGCGGCGUGCUUAACACAUGCAAGUCGAACGGAAAGGCCCUGCUUUUGUGGGGUGCUCGAGUGGCGAACGGGUGAGUAACACGUGAGUAACCUGCCCUUGACUUUGGGAUAACUUCAGGAAACUGGGGCUAAUACCGGAUAGGAGCUCCUGCUGCAUGGUGGGGGUUGGAAAGUUUCGGCGGUUGGGGAUGGACUCGCGGCUUAUCAGCUUGUUGGUGGGGUAGUGGCUUACCAAGGCUUUGACGGGUAGCCGGCCUGAGAGGGUGACCGGCCACAUUGGGACUGAGAUACGGCCCAGACUCCUACGGGAGGCAGCAGUGGGGAAUAUUGCACAAUGGGCGGAAGCCUGAUGCAGCAACGCCGCGUGCGGGAUGACGGCCUUCGGGUUGUAAACCGCUUUCGCCUGGGACGAAGCGUGAGUGACGGUAAUGGGUAAAGAGGCACCGGCUAACUACG
Molecule: ribosomal RNA, 466 nt
Filed under: uncultured bacterium
Lineage: Bacteria
Description: partial 16S ribosomal RNA
Rfam family: Bacterial small subunit ribosomal RNA
Source: RNAcentral